AUAUUCAGAAUAUAACUAAAAAAGUAAAUAAAAGAAUUACAUGAAAAUUAUCGUAGCGGCGUCGAAACGAACAAAGAAACCU
Molecule: small RNA, 82 nt
Filed under: Arabidopsis thaliana (thale cress)
Lineage: Eukaryota; Viridiplantae; Streptophyta; Magnoliopsida; Brassicales; Brassicaceae
Description: ATSL023490
Source: RNAcentral